AUGAACUCCUCGGGCAAGAUCGUCUUCCAGCAGGGCCUGGAGCGCAUCUGCAGCUCCCCGUGCAGCCUCCACGCCGUGGCCAGGUCCUACUCGUCCGGCGUCCGCGUGGCGCCCGUGGUGCUCAACGUGCCGGUCUGCUCGCGGCCGGUCUUCGGGUUCUUCAAGGACAAGAAGGAGUCGGCGGCCAGCAAGGACGUGGCGGCGACGAGGUCCGGAGGUGGCUGCAGCAGCGGGUUGUGGUGA
Molecule: ribosomal RNA, 243 nt
Filed under: Triticum aestivum (bread wheat)
Lineage: Eukaryota; Viridiplantae; Streptophyta; Magnoliopsida; Poales; Poaceae
Description: partial small subunit ribosomal RNA
Source: RNAcentral